GCUCUGAACUACAGUGUUUAUCACAGAAUGGAAAAUACAAUCAUCUGGACUUUGUUAUUUGUAGUUAGUAUUCACGGAGUUUGGAGUGAGAUCAAACUGGAUCAGUCUCCCUCUGAGGUGAAAACACCUGGAGAGACAGUGAAGAUGUCAUGUAUCAUAUCUGGGUUUGACAUGACGAGCUACUAUAUUCACUGGAUACGACAGAAGCCAGGGAAAGCUCUGGAGUGGAUUGGGAGGAUGAACGCAGGUUCAAACUCUGCUAGCUAUGCCAGCUCCUUUCAAAGUGGUUUCCUCAUGACUGAAGACGUGUCCAGCAGCACUCAGUACCUCGAGAUCAGGAGCCUGACAGCAGAAGAUUCUGCUGUUUACUUCUGUGCUCGACAGACACAGUGACUGAAGACAGUGGAGCAGCUGCACAAAAACCUCCACAGACAACAAAUAUGUGAUUUACAUGACAUUUGGGUUUUCUGUCCACAUGAAAAAGCACUUUUAUAUAUGUAUAUCGCUAUUCCGUAUAAUUUACUAUAAACCCAUGA
Molecule: non-coding RNA, 536 nt
Organism: Acanthopagrus latus (yellowfin seabream)
Lineage: Eukaryota; Metazoa; Chordata; Actinopteri; Spariformes; Sparidae
Source: the annotation of a RefSeq genome assembly